AGAAAAGUAAGCUAAAUAAAGCUAAUGGGUUCAUACCCCAUAAAUAGAGUAUAAAUUCUCUUUUCUG
This 67-nucleotide transfer RNA is filed under the name Hospitalitermes sp. C TB-2017. RNAcentral's name for it is "tRNA-Met". Lineage: Eukaryota; Metazoa; Arthropoda; Insecta; Blattodea; Termitidae. The record is from RNAcentral.